This 808-nucleotide ribosomal RNA is filed under the name uncultured Spartobacteria bacterium. RNAcentral's name for it is "bacterial SSU rRNA". It matches the Rfam family "Bacterial small subunit ribosomal RNA", at positions 8 to 796 of the family's 1533-position model. Lineage: Bacteria; Pseudomonadati; Verrucomicrobiota; Spartobacteria. The record is from RNAcentral.
AGAGUUUGAUCAUGGCUCAGAACGAACGCUGGCGGCGUGGAUAAGACAUGCAAGUCGAACGGGAUACCUUCUGUAGCAAUACAGGAGGUGUUCAGUGGCGUAAGGGUGCGUAACACGUGGGCAAUCUGCCGAGAUGUGGGGGAUAGCUCGCCGAAAGGCGAAUUAAUACCGCAUGUGGUUAGUGAAGACAUCUUCACGACACCAAAGCCGGGGCAACCUGGCGCAUCUUGAUGAGCCCGCGGCCUAUCAGCUUGUUGGCGGGGUAACGGCCCACCAAGGCUAUGACGGGUAGCUGGUCUGAGAGGACGACCAGCCACACUGGAACUGAGACACGGUCCAGACACCUACGGGUGGCAGCAGUCGAGAAUUUUUCUCAAUGGGGGAAACCCUGAAGGAGCGACGCCGCGUGGAGGAUGAAGGUCUUCGGAUUGUAAACUCCUGUCAUUAGGGAACAAUGUGCAUUUGUUAACUGCAGAUGCAUUGAUAGUACCUGAAGAGGAAGAGACGGCUAACUCUGUGCCAGCAGCCGCGGUAAUACAGAGGUCUCAAGCGUUGUUCGGAUUCAUUGGGCGUAAAGGGAGCGUAGGUGGCGGGGUAAGUCAGGUGUGAAAUCUCGGGGCUCAACCCCGAAACUGCAUUUGAUACUGCCUUGCUUGAGUACUGGAGAGGAGAUCGGAAUUUACGGUGUAGCAGUGAAAUGCGUAGAUAUCGUAAGGAAGACCAGCGGCGAAGGCGGAUCUCUGGACAGUUACUGACACUGAGGCUCGAAGGCCAGGGGAGCAAACGGGAUUAGAUACCCCGGUAGUCC